GAGGGUAUGACGAUCCUUUCCCCAGAUGAUCGACGAUGAGCAUAAUGUGCGCUAUUGUUCUCUUAAGAACUAUGAUACUC
Molecule: small nucleolar RNA, 80 nt
Filed under: Oryza longistaminata (longstamen rice)
Lineage: Eukaryota; Viridiplantae; Streptophyta; Magnoliopsida; Poales; Poaceae
Description: snoRNA snoZ103
Rfam family: Small nucleolar RNA Z103
About the family: This family consists of several snoRNA Z103 sequences which are members of the C/D class of snoRNA which contain the C (UGAUGA) and D (CUGA) box motifs. This family seems to be found exclusively in plants. C/D box small nucleolar RNAs are known to act as a methylation guides for 18S ribosomal RNA.
Source: RNAcentral